Molecule: ribosomal RNA, 471 nt
Filed under: Colletotrichum sublineola
Lineage: Eukaryota; Fungi; Ascomycota; Sordariomycetes; Glomerellales; Glomerellaceae
Description: eukaryotic LSU rRNA
Rfam family: 5.8S ribosomal RNA (bases 176-329)
Source: RNAcentral
CUCUAUAACCCUUUGUGAACAUACCUAACUGUUGCUUCGGCGGGUUAGGGGGUCCCCCCGGGGACGCCCUCCCGGCCGCGCCCUCCUCCUCCGGGAGGGGUCGCGGCGCCCGCCGGAGGAUAACCAAACUCUGAUUUAACGACGUUUCUUCUGAGUGGCACAAGCAAAUAAUUAAAACUUUUAACAACGGAUCUCUUGGUUCUGGCAUCGAUGAAGAACGCAGCGAAAUGCGAUAAGUAAUGUGAAUUGCAGAAUUCAGUGAAUCAUCGAAUCUUUGAACGCACAUUGCGCCCGCCAGCAUUCUGGCGGGCAUGCCUGUUCGAGCGUCAUUUCAACCCUCAAGCUUCGCUUGGUGUUGGGGCACUACGGUUGACGUAGGCCCUCAAAAGUAGUGGCGGACCCUCCCGGAGCCUCCUUUGCGUAGUAACUAACGUCUCGCAUCGGGAUCCGGAGGGACUCUUGCCGUAAAAC